This 5196-nucleotide long non-coding RNA is filed under the name Homo sapiens (human). RNAcentral's name for it is "non-protein coding lnc-OIP5-1:2". The record is from RNAcentral. Lineage: Eukaryota; Metazoa; Chordata; Mammalia; Primates; Hominidae.
GUGCAUUCUCAGCCCAUGCUGCUUUAUUGCUAAAAUAUAUAUAUACACAGGUGCAGAGCUUCCAACUUUUUUAACAGUUCCUUUUUACAUCAAAGAAUUAAAUUUCUUCAAAAACCCCAAAGAUGCAUAGAUUAAGAAGCAAGCUGCCUUUUGUAAUACUUAAAAUAAUAUUCAAUGAAACUCUUAACGUUAUACACCAAUGGUGCAAUGGAGAAUAUGGAGGACAGCAAGUAAACACAGUGAGCAACUCUUAUUCUUACAAGGCAGUAGGUAAAGUAUAAUGUGAAGGACAGUCUAAGAUAAUCUUUCUGGUUAUAAGAAAUGGGUCGGUUUUGUGAUAAGUGCCAAGACUGUUACUGUUUAAGGAUUGAUGAUAAUGUAUUACCAGAAUACCUUUCUUAUCCCUGGGAGAAAAUAUUUUUUCACUGAUGGAAUGACAUAUCACCAAGGGAGAAAAAAACCUGAAUACUGUCAGUAACUAAGAUACCUAUUCUGACUUUAAAGAAGAUUUAGGACUUCAUGGAGAAAUCUGUGAUGUCUGGUUUCCCAAAAUUAAGUAUUUUAAUGUGCCUUAGUGGAAUAAUCGGAGGAAUUUAGAGAAACUCUGUUCUUAAUCUUUACUGGCUGACAGACAUGCUAUCAAGUAAUUGGGGAAGACAAACUAUAUUCAGGAUAUGACAUCUCACUUCAUAUAUUUCAAUGGAAACCAAACAUCACAGUCACAAGAAGUCUAAUUCAAUUCUGAACCACUGGAAAGUUACCAUUCCACUUUAUUCAUUCCCAAAGUUAUUUGUAGCAAAAUCCUACAGGAAAGAAUGAAAUAAAAAGUUUUCAAAAAAUUUUUUUCAAUCAUAGAAUGUAAAACCUUGAAUGUGCUUUGUGAAAAUCAUUUAGUCUAAUCUUGAAUUCUAUUUAGGCUUGUUUCAGACAUCAUGAAUGCCAUUUUUACGUCAUUUGUCACAAUCACUUGUACUUAUAUAAGGGUUAUUUUUAAAGUCAGGAAUUUUCUCAAGGAAAAUUUUAAGCUACUACAGGCCAGGUGCAGUGCCCCACAAACUCCAGUAGUAUCACUUAUUCUAUUGUACAACCUUGCUAAUGCAAAUUACUAUACAUGCACAAACUUAUUGCUACUAAAAUUCUACCUCUUGAAAAUUACUAUUAAUUUUAUGGCUUUUUUUUUCAACAGGAAAUAUCCUUUCCUAUAUAUUGUGCUAUUCUGUAUUCACUACCUUUUCAGUUUUUUUUUUUUUUUUUUUUUUUUUUUUUAAGUUAAAUGCUUUUCAGUAAUGGAUUCUCCCAGGCACUAAACUACUUAAGCCAGGAGUAUAACUACUUCAAAUACACUAUGAGAACCUAAACUUGGGUCUCUGGAGAUCUGCUGCCAGAGUCUACUUGUUCUAACCUGUGUAUGCGCAAGAUACACCACAUUAUAAUAGUUUUGCAUUUGCUAUCAUACAUUAGUUAUGUAGAAUCUGUGUCAGCAAAUGCUGGACUCUCCCUAAUACUGAAAUUUAAAAAUCACCUCAGAAAACUGCCAGUUCUGAGUUCUCAAGGCAGCUUUUAGAGGUAGGAAUUCCUUCUCUACAGAAAGCUAUCUUAUUCUUUCAGAACAAAAUGACUGUUUUAUUUCCACAAGUAAAGUAGAUAAAAGUGAAAGCUGUCUGAGGCUUACUAUACCCAAGAGAAAGUCUACUCACUACGUAGCAACCUAGGUAGGUGCCACCCAGCUACAUUUCCAGUUCUCAUGAAAAGAUCUGAAAAUCCCAUCAAUAGACAAUUCAGCACAUUUGGAAAUAGGAAGAGCCCUAACAAAUAAUUGAAUACUCCAAAUUACUGAGUGUUUGCACACAGCAUGCUGCAAACAGGAAAUGUAAAUGGUCUGCAGAUUAGAAAAGCACUCACUGAAGCAAUUAACAGCAUCUCCAUAAGACAUGCAAAAUGUAAUUUCUUGACAUACAAGGAGUAGGAAAAUAAUGAAACUAAAAGACAUGCCAUGUUAAGACAUGAAAAGAGCAGGCCAGGUGGAUUACUUGAGGUCAGGAGUUUGAGACCAGCCUGGCCAACACAGCAAAACCCCGUCUCUACUAAAAAUAUAAAAAUUAGCUGGGCGUGGUGGCACGUGCCUGUAGUCCCAGCUACUCGGGAGGCUGGGGCACGAGAAUCACUUGAACCCAAGAGGCAGAGGUUACAGUGAGCAAAGAUUGUGCCACUGCACUCCAGCCUGGGUGACAGAGUGAAACUCUAUCUCCCCCCCACCCCAAAAAAAGAGCAAAGCAGAAUAAUUAAAUGCGGUCUCAUUUUGACUUGAGGUUUCAUAAGACACAAAGACAGCUGGUUUCCAGAUACCUUAUGGAAAGCUGAAAUGUCCUCAAAUAUAGUAUCUCAGAUUUUGACCCCACAUUUCUAUUCAUAAAUGAGUCUUUUGGGCCUUAAUCUCUUUUCCCCAGGAAGAAUAUAACAGAUUUAGACAUUAUGGAAAAAGAAAAGGUUUAGAUUUUCCACUCUUUUUACACUAUUUGUUAUUAUCAAUAAUUCAUCCUGAAGUUUAAAAUCACUAGACUCAUGCACUAACCCCUAACAUGGCACUACAAUAUGCUACCAAGCACUAAUGCUUACAAAACUAUACACAUCUCAAAAUGGAAGACAUUGGUGAUUUUGUUGUUCUUAAACAACUUGUAACAUUUGUCCACAAGUAUUAAAAUAUACAUAUAUAUAUAUAUAUUUCUAUUGCACAUAUCCCGGUUUUAACUUUUCAAAAGAAAAACUGCCAGCUAACAUGGAUGAGCAAGGGAAAGGAAGGAAGCAUGGCUACAAAUCGACGUAUAGUCCUGCCUAAAAUUAUAGCUUUUCCUAUCAAGGGGACCAAAAUAGACAAGAAAAAAAUGUAGAUGUGUUAAGUAAACACUGGGCAACUACAGCUGGAAUAUAUCCAUUUUGUUAAAUGCAUCUGGUCUGAAGCAUGGAAGAUACAAUUUCAAGAGCAUUAAACACUGGUUCUCUCAACUGUAUAUAAAGCAUAUAGAGACGCUGAGUCUGAUAGCUAUUCAAACAAGUGGGCCAGAGCUGGUUUCAAUGGUGCCAAAAGUACAGGUACUCUACCCCCUGCCAAAUGAUCCUACCAAAAAAGAUGCCAGAAGUACACAGAGAAGAUGGGUUUAACAGACACCUGGAAGGUGUCUCCAUUCUCCAUGAUAUGACAUUUUCAACAUACUAGUGGAACACCAUAUAUGUAGGCUCCAUUCUGUCUUGAACAGUUCCAAAAUAUUAAAGAAAAACAUCAGGAAGUUGGUAGAUUACUUAAGAGAAAAAUUUGAGUUACUUUUAACCAAAGUGAUUUCUACUAUGCUUUUAUCACUCAGUAGCUGCCCUCAAAAAAAGAAAUAUUUUAUAUAUAAUAUGUAAUUAUUUUACUGAAAGUAUUUUUUACCCAUUUCAAAUGGGCUGAUUGACCAAUCUCACUAAUAAUAAGAGUGCUCACCAUUUCCCAUUUUAGGCCAUUUUUAUCACUCUCAAAUUUUGGUGAAUCUUCCCUAAGUUCCCAGCAUCACAGCAUUCAUGGACCUGAGUAAACAUUCCGGAAAACACAGAGAUGUUCCAAUACUCUGUUCUUAAUUUCAUCUAAUUAGUUUUAAAAUUUAUUCUCUACUCACAAGAAGCAUAAAUAAAGGUUUCACUCUUAUAUAAAGACCUGACAAUACAUACAAUGGUCCUCUGCUGAUUUGGAAGCAAAGACAGUUUUCUACGACAGUCUGUUCUUUAUAAUGUAUAACUGUUGUGGGAAAAAAGAAAAUCCAUUUCUUAUUGUAAUUAUUUUUCUUAUUUGAGGUUUCUUUUCCACGAUGACCCAACCACAAGUUUGGGAACAUUGCUUCUGAGGCCCAUUCUCUGAUGAGAAAGUUCAGUCCCAACUGGGGAAAGUACCUGAGUCCCAGCCUUUUCAGCCUAGAAAUCAGGCUGAGCGUGGUGGUGCGCGCCUGUAAUCCUAGCUACUUGGGAGGCUGAGGCAGGAGAAUCGCUUGAACCCGGGUGGGAGAGACUGCAGUGAGCAGAAAUCACGCAUCACUCCAGCCUGGGCAACAGAGAGAGACUGCCUCAAAAAAUAAAUAAAUAAAUAAAUAAAAAUCAAACAUCCAAGUAUCCACCUUGGGUUGCAGGAAGAGUUAAUCUUAUGCGUUUAUUAAAAAAAGUAACUAUAUAAUGUGAAACACCAUAAAGUCAGAUGGCACUGCAUGAGGGAUUUUUGCUUCUUUUUCUUAAGGAAAAGGAGUUACAUGGAAAAUUCUCUCAUCCUCCCCCCUCUGCCCCCAACUCCUCUAUGUCCAAAGUUGUUUUUUAUUUUUCUGAGACGGAGUCUCACUCUGUCGCCCAGGCUGGAGUGCAGUGGUGCAAUCUCAGUUCACUGCAACCUCCGCCUCCCGGAUUCAAGCAAUUCUCCUGCCUCAGCCUCACGAGUAGCUGGGAUUACACGUAUCUACCACCACACCUGGCUAAUUUUCUAUUUUUAGUAGAGAUGGGGUUUCUCCAUGUUGGUCAGGCUGGUCUCAAACUCCCAACCUCAGGUGAUUUGCCUGCCUUGGCCUCCCAAAGUGUUGGGAUUACAGGUGUGAGCCACCACACCCGGCCUAGGUUUUUGUUUAAAAUUGGGCCUUUGUUCCUAUUCAGUAAAUCUAUGUCACAGGAUGAGCCAGGAUUUAAAUAUACAAAUAUAAAUUUUUAGUAUCUUUCACGUCAAAUUAGAAACACAUAUUUGGAAUUUACUGCUGCAGUCUCAACUGUGCUUAUCAUGGUAGUGGCUGAAACUGGAAGACAUUUUUUUUAAACCCUGAAGUCAUUCAUACUUGCUACUUCUUUAGUCUUCUUGCUUGGAAUGAAAAGUAUUCACAAAUACCACCACCUAAGCACCUGUUUCAAAUGAAACUCAGCCUUCUGCUUGCAAAAUGAUGUCUUUAUAAUUAAGCAAACAGCAAAAGACCCAUGUGAGUUGCUUCUUUCUUCCUGGAGAUGUUAGCAGGAUAACUGGAAUCCUAGGAGCUCCUCUGUGUUGAAUUUGAGAGGCAGAACAAAAAGAAAAGUGGCCUUUUCCAUUCCAAAUCAUGGAGGUAAUGUGUAGAGAAGUGAUAGCCACAUUUCAAAAACGGGAAAGUAACUGGGUAAAAGAAGCAGGACUACCCACUCUAGGAGACAACAUAGAGACAC